AACGCGAAGAACCUUACCAAGGUUUGACAUGGCCGGAAAAGCCGCAGAGAUGCGGUGUCCUUCGGGGUCGGUCACAGGUGGUGCAUGGCUGUCGUCAGCUCGUGUCGUGAGAUGUUGGGUUAAGUCCCGCAACGAGCGCAACCCUCGUCCUAUGUUGCCAGCGGGUCAUGCCGGGGACUCAUGGGAGACUGCCGGGGUCAACUCGGAGGAAGGUGGGGAUGACGUCAAGUCAUCAUGCCCCUUACGCGUAGGGCUGCUAACAUGCUACAAUGGCCGGUACAAAGGGCUGCUAAUCCGCGAGGAGGAGCGAAUCCCAAAAAGCCGGUCUCAGUUCGGAUUGGAGUCUGCAACUCGACUCCAUGAAGUCGGAGUCGCUAGUAAUCCCGGAUCAGCUACGCCGGGUGAAUACGUUCCCGGGCCUUGUACACACCGCGCAUA
Molecule: ribosomal RNA, 438 nt
Filed under: uncultured bacterium
Lineage: Bacteria
Description: bacterial SSU rRNA
Rfam family: Bacterial small subunit ribosomal RNA
Source: RNAcentral